UGUCACAACAGUUGGACAAGUCAGGAAACUCCGUCCCAGCCAGGAAAUGGCAGAGGCAGAAAUCAUACACAGAUGGGCUUAUACAACCAAUCAGUCUUGCAGCUGUGUUAGGCCACGUGCCCGACGCUCAGUAGGCAUCCGGUGGUACAAAGAGCCUUCUGUAAACAGCCUCUUCCUCUGAGGCAGGAAAUGUGACAGACCAGCAAGCGGGAAGGCAAGGCAGGCUGUGAUGAGGAGAGCAGGCUGGAUCCUCUCGGUGGUUUACAACACCCACAGCACUGUGCAGUGGAUUCAGAAGGAUGGUAUUCAACCCCGGUGUCAGUGAAUUUGAGGUUUGGAGAGGGGCAGAUCUCUCUGAUGCUCCAACCCCUGUGUUCAUUGAGGCCAGAGGCAAUGUUUCUUACAGAAUGUGUCACUGACAGAACAAUGUCCUGGGAUAGAGCUGGCUUCCAAGCCUGAAGCUCACAGUGGCAACAUAAAGGGCUGGCUCUUCCUAAGUGGUGGGGGGAGACCCUGCACCCUUACCUCAUUCUCUGUCCUGGGAGGGACAUUUUCUAAUAAAUCUAUGCCGUUGACGACG
This 580-nucleotide long non-coding RNA is filed under the name Rattus norvegicus (Norway rat). RNAcentral's name for it is "long non-coding RNA NONRATT027778". Lineage: Eukaryota; Metazoa; Chordata; Mammalia; Rodentia; Muridae. The record is from RNAcentral.